This 344-nucleotide ribosomal RNA is filed under the name uncultured soil bacterium. RNAcentral describes it as "bacterial SSU rRNA". It matches the Rfam family "Bacterial small subunit ribosomal RNA", at positions 26 to 396 of the family's 1533-position model. The record is from RNAcentral.
AGAGCGAACGCUGGCGGCAGGCCUAACACAUGCAAGUCGAACGGACCCUUCGGGGUUAGUGGCGGACGGGUGAGUAACACGUGGGAACGUGCCUUUAGGUUCGGAAUAGCUCCUGGAAACGGGUGGUAAUGCCGAAUGUGCCCUUCGGGGGAAAGAUUUAUCGCCUUUAGAGCGGCCCGCGUCUGAUUAGCUAGUUGGUGGGGUAAUGGCCCACCAAGGCUACGAUCAGUAGCUGGUCUGGAGAGGACGACCAGCCACACUGGAACUGAGACACGGUCCAGACUCCUACGGGAGGCAGCAGUGGGGAAUUUUGGGACAAUGGGCGCAAGCCUGAUCCAGCAAUG